Molecule: non-coding RNA, 890 nt
Organism: Sturnus vulgaris (Common starling)
Lineage: Eukaryota; Metazoa; Chordata; Aves; Passeriformes; Sturnidae
Source: RefSeq, a predicted model, not a curated record
CAUGACAAAGAACAAAAGUCCCAGGGGAACGUCACCAGCAUAGUCAUCUCCACACAUGCAAAGGUCCUUUCUGCCUUUUUUUUUUUUCCCCUUUGAAAUUUCAAAUUCCAGUUUGUGGACAAAGUCCUGCCUAUCUGAGAAUAUAGAUCUUCGACCACUGACCAAACUCCACUUCAAGCAGUCCCGAGGACUGCUCUUCCCCUUGCCCACGGACGUGUCUGCUCAGUCUUUGGAUCUCCCAGGAUCAUGCUGAAAAUUUUGCACUGGAGCACAGCACUGGUACUUGCACAAAGUGGAUUUUGCACUUAAUGUCAGCAGCUUCCUUUCUGGGAAGAAUCUCAGGAGUAACCAGGAGUGUGCAGAGUGCCUGAAUAACCUGUCAUGUCCCCAAUGUCCUCAAUCACCAGACCCCAGCAAGGGGUGAGUAAGAACCAGACAACACUCAGGAGCUCCAUGUCCACAGCAGCUGUACACCCACCACACACCCUCCUGUAUGACACAACCCUCCUGUCCCCUGCCAGAGAAACAAAAACACAGCAAAAAGCAAGGUAUGGGAACAUGGGAGCCUUCUACAUGCAAGAUUUGUUGCAUGGGGGCCAUCAAGGGCAGGGGAUCACCUGUCCCUACAGUUCCAGAAACCCAUGGCCAGGACACUGCAGGGCCAAUGUUUGGCUCCCAGCUCACAAAGAUGGGAAACUGCUAAUCAGACCAUGAGUAUUCCACCUAGGUCUGCAGCACUGGAUAACACUAUUGUGUGUCCCUUCACAUUCCUGCAAGUCCUGGUGCCAUUGGCCUCUUGUGUCAUAAAGAAAUUAAAAUAUAUUAUGAUCAUAAACUACAUCAUUUGAGGAAAUGAACUACUUCUAGUAAACGUAUCAUGAGACACUGAA